GACGAACGCUGGCGGCAUGCCUAAUACAUGCAAGUCGAACGAACAAAAUUGGGGCUUGCUCCAAUUUUAGUGAGUGGCAAACGGGUGAGUAACACGUGGGAAUCUACCUAUCAGUACGGAAUAACAUUUGGAAACAGAUGCUAAUACCGUAUAUUCUCCAAGGAGGAAAGAUUUAUCGCUGAUAGAUGAGCCCGCGUAAGAUUAGGUAGUUGGUAGGGUAAUGGCCUACCAAGCCGACGAUCUUUAGCUGGUCUGAGAGGAUGAUCAGACACACUGGGACUGAGACACGGCCCAGACUCCUACGGGAGGCAGCAGUGGGGAAUAUUGGACAAUGGGCGAAAGCCUGAUCCAGCAAUACCGCGUGAAUGAUGAAGGCCUUAGGGUUGUAAAGUUCUUUUAGUUGGAAAGAUAAUGACGGUACCAACAGAAAAAGCCCCGGCUAACUCCGUGCCAGCAGCCGCCGUAA
RNAcentral lists this ribosomal RNA (466 nucleotides) under uncultured bacterium. Its description in RNAcentral is "partial 16S ribosomal RNA". It matches the Rfam family "Bacterial small subunit ribosomal RNA", at positions 28 to 523 of the family's 1533-position model. The record is from RNAcentral.